UUUUUUUUUUUUUUUUUUUUUUAUCAUUGUCCAAAAAACCAGGUGCUGUCCCUUAAAUCCUCUGGAAGCUAUUUCAGCGGGGGGGGGGUGGGAAGAGUGGCGGCUGCCUUCUGUGUCUGCUCUUCCUUCAUGAUCCGAAGCAGCCACCCCCAGUCAGAACACAGAACUCCAGCGCUUAGAGGCAAAGGUUUUAUUUUAUUUUAUUUUUAAAGAUUUUAUUCAUGAAAGACACAGAGAGAGAGGCAGAGACACAGGCAGAGGGAGAAGCAGGCUCCAUGCAGGGAUCCCGACGUGGGACUCGAUCCCGGGUUUCCAGGAUCAAGCCCUGGGCUGAAGGUGGCGCUAAACCACUGAGCCACCCAGGGAUCCCGAGGCAAAGGCUUUAAUUCCUACCCUAAGCUCCAGCAAGUAAACUAGGGCCGUGGGCUUCAUCUGGGCGCCAGUAGAGGCUGGGUGGCUCCUGGCGUCCUGGAGGCUGACCUCUACCGCUGAUCAGUCAGGGUCUCCGCUGGGAUCUAGAACUCUGACUCCAGAGUAAUCACUAGAUAGACACCUGCUUCCAGUACAACUGUUGUCUAGCUGGAGAGAUGGAUUCCUGGCGCUACUUACUCCCCCAUCUUCCCCGACAUCACUUCCUCCAUGUCUUUGGAAUUUAUCUUGCUUUCUGGAAAAUCUUUUCAGUUUUAUCCCCUGACUCUACUACUAAAUGUUUUAUUGUUGUUGUCACAGUAAUUCUAAGUGUAUUUCCUGAUUCUCUGUUCUCUUUUUAUAAUCUCUUUUAUUUCAUGGGUGAUUUUUUUUUCCUCUUCAUGGGUGAUUUUUUUUUCCCUCUGUGGAUGCUAAUAUAGUGUCUUUCCAUGUUUUUCUGCUCCCUGCAUUAUUUGUCUUUCCUUUGAGUUGUUUUUCACCUGUUUUCUCUCUUUCACAUUGGAGGCUUUCCUCAAAUUUCUGGCAAUCUUCGUUCACUUUUAAGAAGACGGCUCUAAAAAGCUGACUGGAAGGUGUUCAGGUGUUUUCAUUACUGCAGCACUAUCCAAGGAGCAUACUGUGAGCCACAUACGUAAUUUCAGAUUUUCUAGUAGCUACUUUUAAAAAGCAAAGCAGAUGAAGUUAACAAUACAUUUUAUUUUACCCAAGAGAGACAAAAUAUUAUUUCAACAUAUUUUAACCAGUGUAAAAAUUAUUGUGAAAUAAUUAUCAUUAUUAUUUCAUGAGGCAUUUUAUGUUAUGUUUUGCAUUGUCUUCAAAACCCAGUGUGUUUUAUAAAAGUUGUAGCAGUUCAUACACUGAAUUACUUGAUCCAUAUUUAGAUUUAUAAAACUUAGUGUUUAAAAGUAGGUUCACAUGGUUCUUCCAAACAUAUCUUGUUAUUCUAAAUAUGCUUAAAGUUUUCCAGUAACUGGACCAAAUUACCAAAGUAAUUCAAAGGAAUUACUUUACUCUGAUACUUGCAUCCACAUUGACAAAACAGUUCAUCUUUCUUAUUAGAGGAAUUGAUUUUGAAGCAAAAGCAUAUCAUUUAGAAAACUGUUUGUUCAAGUAAAUUCACUAACUCUUAUAUCAUCUCAGUAUUAUUAACAGCAAAUUUGGCAUAAAGUAGUGCAUAAAAUGGAAACAAAACUAAAUUUAUCCAUAUCAACAAACCAGUACUUUCAUUUGUCUUGUUUUAUUUUUUGUAGCUAACUUAUGUAAGAUGCUGCUGAUUACAUUUAAAAUUUGUAUAUUGACCCAAUGUUAGAAAAAUAUGUACAAUUGUCAUUUUUUAUUUGUAUCAUGAAAUAUUUGUUUUAACUAAAGUAUUUCACCUAAGUAGGUACAAGUUUUUCCUGUUCUAAGGAGCUUCAAAAUUAGCAUAUUCAUAUGCAGUGUUAUGUUAAGGAGAAUUCUUGCUCUGCCACUUUUUGUCUUUGGUUUUUGAAUAUAUGGCAGGCAUUCCUUUGUUUUAAGAAAACCUUGAAUUGGAAUUUUUUUUUUUUGAAUUGGAAUUUCUAGUACAGGGAAUCUUUGUAAAAAUUCUUUUAUAACUCAACCAAGGAACAUUAGUAAAAACACAAGAUCACUAAAAAAUAUUUUCUUCACCAGUUCCCUAACCUGGCAGUGAAUAUUUUAUAGCAUUUGCACAUACAUACUGAAGAAUUUUAACAUCUGUAUUCAUGACUCUUUCUAGAGUCUGCUUUAGAAAACCGAACACAAAUAUUUUCAAUAGUUACCAGACAGUGAAACAAAAGAGUGAGGGAAACAUCAUUCUCUUGCUUUAAAAUUCCAGUACUUUUGGUCUUUUGACAACAUAGUUGGAGUCUCAUCAUAGAAACUAAUUUUUCUAUGUCUAGCUGAAAUUCUUCCAACAGAUGAGAAAAUGUCAAAAACACCUGUCAUGAGUUUGAGUUUUUAGGCAAUGAAUUGACAUUUCUUCAUAAAUUUGGAUGUUCUUUGAGACAGAAUGUACCAAAAUUUUCAAUGGGAACUGUCUUAUGUGACUCAUCUAAAAGUAAAUACUUGCAACUUUUCAAUUUGUGAGUCAAUUAAUCUUUAUUAGUAUUAGAAAUUUCUUGUAUUCUGUGAACAACAUUGUUUAGAGGGUUAAUUGAAAAGUUCGAUUUUUGUAAAUGUCUUCAAGUCUUAUAAUUUUCUAACGAAAUUACCAUAACUAAAAUGAUAAUUUCAUCAUCUCUCCGCCUAAGAUUCUUUGUAUGUGUGUGUUCAAGAAUUCAAGUAUUGUAGAGUUGGCCAAAUUUACAAGCUCAGCAAUGCUGUUAAACUUUUUUUUUUUAUGGAAAUUACUCAUUUCAUGUGACCGUUUUGUGGGUUUUUUUGACUGUUAGAAUACUUAUCGAACUAACUAGAUCGUUGCUGAAAAUGACAAAUACUAGCUGUUGUCUUAAAUAUUGUCUACAGUAUUGAACACUUUUGUAUACAACAAACAGCUUUUUCAUUUUGCUGUGCCUGCAGUAAGUUGCAAUCGCCAUUCAUCAUCGAAUGUGCACUCUACCCCCGCCCCCUUUUCUCUUGAUUGUACUAGUUGUAGUACUGGCUUCUGUAGUGAACUGAAUUCUGCCUCAGUAAUAUGCCUUCGUUUAAAAUUUAAAUAUUUUCCCGUAUUUUUUUAAUCUAGAAAAUAAUUAUAAUUAAAAUAGCAUCUCAGUUGAUGAUUAUGAUUUGCAUAGGUAUCACUGUAACUUGUGCUGUCUACCUUGGUAUACUUGAACUUGUGCUAACCACAUAAAAUAUCCAAGUAAACACAUCGUGAUGUUAUCUCAGUGCAUAGAAGAAAAUCAUCUGAACCAAAUCAAUCUGUUGAUACUGCCUAGAUUGGUGAAGUGUUUAUCUGUAAUACUAGAACUAAUGCACGUUCCUGUACAAGCAUUACAGUACAGCAACAUCCUAUGCGAUGCAACAGUUAAAGUGAAUUGUAGUUCUAUGAAAACAAUAAAGUUGUGUUGAAUGGGAAAA
RNAcentral lists this long non-coding RNA (3450 nucleotides) under Canis lupus familiaris (dog). Its description in RNAcentral is "lncRNA (ENSCAFG00000053075.1)". Lineage: Eukaryota; Metazoa; Chordata; Mammalia; Carnivora; Canidae. The record is from RNAcentral.